RNAcentral lists this ribosomal RNA (301 nucleotides) under uncultured bacterium. RNAcentral's name for it is "partial 16S ribosomal RNA". It matches the Rfam family "Bacterial small subunit ribosomal RNA", at positions 509 to 807 of the family's 1533-position model. The record is from RNAcentral.
CAGUCGCCACGGUAAUACGUAGGUGGCAAGCGUUGUCCGGAAUUAUUGGGCGUAAAGGGCUCGCAGGCGGUUUCUUAAGUCUGACGUGAAAGCCCCCGGCUCAACCGGGGAGGGUCAUUGGAAACUGGGAAACUUGAGUGCAGAAGAGGAGAGUGGAAUUCCACGUGUAGCGGUGAAAUGCGUAGAGAUGUGGAGGAACACCAGUGGCGAAGGCGACUCUCUGGUCUGUAACUGACGCUGAGGAGCGAAAGCGUGGGGAGCGAACAGGAUUAGAUACCCGGGUAGUCCCUGUCUCUUAUAC